This 467-nucleotide ribosomal RNA is filed under the name uncultured bacterium. RNAcentral describes it as "partial 16S ribosomal RNA". It matches the Rfam family "Bacterial small subunit ribosomal RNA", at positions 28 to 507 of the family's 1533-position model. The record is from RNAcentral.
GAUGAACGCUGGCAGCGCGCCUAACACAUGCAAGUCGAACGAUUAAAGCACCUUCGGGUGUGUAUAAAGUGGCGAACGGCUGAGUAACACGUGGGCAACCUGCCCCUUUCAUUGGGAUAGCCACGGGAAACCGUGGAUAAUACCGAAUACUUCGAGACUUCCGCAUGGAAGACUCGAGAAAGCUCCGGCGGAGAGGGAUGGGCCCGCGGCCUGUUAGCUUGUUGGUGGGGUAACGGCCUACCAAGGCAAUGAUGGGUAGCUGGGUUGAGAGACCGACCAGCCAGAUUGGGACUGAGACACGGCCCAGACUCCUACGGGAGGCAGCAGUGGGGAAUCUUGCACAAUGGGCGAAAGCCUGAUGCAGCGACGCCGCGUGCGGGAUGAAGGCCUUCGGGUUGUAAACCGCUUUCAGCAGGGACGAGGCGAAAGUGACGGUACCUGCAGAAGAAGCCCCGGCUAACUACGUG